GAGUUUGAUCCUGGCUCAGGAUGAACGCUGGCGGCGUGCUUAACACAUGCAAGUCGAGCGGAGCACAUCGUUGGAAUCCUUCGGGAGGAAGAGGAUGUGGCUUAGCGGCGGACGGGUGAGUAACGCGUGGACAACCUGCCCUAUGCAGGGGGAUAACAUCCGGAAACGGGUGCUAAUACCGCAUAAGCGCACAGUACCGCAUGGUACAGUGUGAAAAGCUGAGGCGGCAUAGGAUGGGUCCGCGUUGGAUUAGGCAGUUGGCGGGGUAACGGCCCACCAAACCGACGAUCCAUAGCCGGCCUGAGAGGGUGGACGGCCACAUUGGGACUGAGACACGGCCCAGACUCCUACGGGAGGCAGCAGUGGGGAAUAUUGCACAAUGGGGGGAACCCUGAUGCAGCGACGCCGCGUGGGUGAGGAAGUACUUCGGUAUGUAAAGCCCUAUCAGCAGGGAAGAAAAUGACGGUACCUGACUAAGAAGCCCCGGCUAACUACGUGCCAGCAGC
Molecule: ribosomal RNA, 506 nt
Filed under: uncultured bacterium
Lineage: Bacteria
Description: bacterial SSU rRNA
Rfam family: Bacterial small subunit ribosomal RNA
Source: RNAcentral